GAGCCUAAAAACUCCCUCAAGCACAAAAGUUUGGUCCCAACUUUAGAAUCAAUUUUUUCUUAACUUACACAUGCAAGUCUCCUCAACCCUGUGAGUAAACCCCCACCCUCCCCCUCGGAACAAAGGCUCGAUAUAAGGCUCCACAACUUGCCCAAGACAUCUAGCUUCAGCCACACCCAUAAGGGAUACAGCAGUGAUUAACAUUAUCCAUAAGUGCCAACUUGAUCUAGUCAAAGAAAUAUAAGGCCGGCAAAGUUAGUGCCAGCCGCCGCGGUUACACUAUAUGCCUAAACUGAUUCUCGCCGGCGUAAAGCGUGGUUAAAGCCAUUAAUAAAUUAGAGUUAAAUUCUAAUAGAGCAGUCAAAUGCCUAUUUACAAGAAACCCAUAAACGAAAGUUACUCUACCUUAACACUUGAACCCACGAUAGCCAAGACACAAACUAGGAUUAGACACCCUACUAUGCCUGGCCAUAAACCUUAAAUUACCCUAUAAU
RNAcentral lists this ribosomal RNA (494 nucleotides) under Ischnocnema guentheri (Steindachner's robber frog). RNAcentral's name for it is "partial 12S ribosomal RNA". The record is from RNAcentral. Lineage: Eukaryota; Metazoa; Chordata; Amphibia; Anura; Brachycephalidae.